CGAAGCCCAAAGAGAAGGGGGUGAAGAGCUGGAACUUCUCUGAGAACUUGAGGGGUCCGCUGGGGGAGUCGGGCCGGUUGCACUCCCAACGUUUGAAGCCCUUCUGCCGGUGGUCGCAGGACGCGUGGCCCUCGUAGUUGACCAUGUAGAGGACGUAGCGCUCCAUGCGCUCGGCGGGCAGCGGCUCCUCGUAGUGAGGGCAGUAGAUGUCCAGGUAGUCAUUGAUGCUCACCUCCACGGUGUAAUCCCCGCGGUGGAACCUGGGGUUGCUGCGGUUCCAAUAGACGGCGUAGCGGUCCGAGAUCACUUUGCCGGG
Molecule: long non-coding RNA, 316 nt
Filed under: Gallus gallus (chicken)
Lineage: Eukaryota; Metazoa; Chordata; Aves; Galliformes; Phasianidae
Source: RNAcentral